Non-coding RNA from Pelobates cultripes (western spadefoot toad), 207 nucleotides. The record is from the annotation of a GenBank genome assembly. Lineage: Eukaryota; Metazoa; Chordata; Amphibia; Anura; Pelobatidae.
CUAGCGCUUCCUGAGGACUCCAAGCACUGCAGCAGACACCACAACCACCGAACCAGAGAAGCAUACGAAUGCUGUAAGCAGCUGAACAGGAAAAGCAUACAAUCAGCUUACACUCCUGGCAAUCAGCAUACAAUCCAAUUCCCCCAAUAACGAGACGACACUUAAUUUUGAGGUCAAGCAGAACUGACUGUACUGGCACAUACAGCC